This 2374-nucleotide long non-coding RNA is filed under the name Cyanistes caeruleus (blue tit). Its description in RNAcentral is "lncRNA (ENSCCEG00000007864.1)". Lineage: Eukaryota; Metazoa; Chordata; Aves; Passeriformes; Paridae. The record is from RNAcentral.
AUGGGAUGGGAUGGGAUGGGAUGGGAUGGGAUGGGAUUGGGACCUGGCACUGCGUCCUUGUGAGCUCUGAGUGGGUUUUGUCCCUGCUCAUGAUGCUGAGAGCCUUGGGGAUAGCUGAACACCCAGCAUGGAGUGAACAGGUGUGUGAGGUGUCUCUGGGAGCACACAGGUGUGUGAGGUGUCCCUGGGAGCACACAGGUGUGUGAGGUGUCUGUCAGGGCACACAGGUGUGUGAGGUGUCUCUCAGAACACACAGGUGUGUGAGGUGUCUCUGGGAGCACACAGGUGUGUGAGGCAGUCUCCACCUGCUCCUGGUGAGGCUGGAUCUGCUGUCAGCUGUGUGCUCUGAGCAGAGCCCAGCCUCCAGCACUGUUAUUUUUAUGUCACCCCACUGGCACUCAGGCUGUUUUCACGGGGAGGAGAAGCCAGUGGGUAAAUUUUACCUCCUGUGCGUGUAGAGGCUGCAAACACUUGCACAAUUUCCUGUGAGAUAGCUGGAAAUUCUUAGUUCAUCUCUUUUCAUUCUGUAACUCCCUCCCUUUUCCCUCUGCCUGCUCUGUGGAUACCUCUGAUACAUCACCUUGCUGUCCAUCCUCCCUGCUCUGCUCCCAGCCCCCUGCUCUCCUCUGUGUGCUGCUGAAUGCACCCCAGCCCCGGGUGGGAUGUGGGGCAGGACAGGGAUGUGGGGUAGGACAGGGAUGUGGCUGGGGACUGUCCUGGCUCUCCCACCAAGGCUUGUCCUGCCUAACAGCCGAGCCUGGAUCACUCUGGCUGAGCACAGCAGAGCUCAGCAGAGCCUCCCAGAUUUAUAACCACAGAGCUGGGUGCUUUUCAUGCUGAUCUGGGGGUCCUGCUCUCCUCAUCUGUGGCACUGCACAGUGCAGGCAGGAGGCUUUCAGUGGGACACCCAGGGUAUUUUGGGAUAAAGGAACAGCUGGGAUACCCAGGCACUAUCUGGAGCAGAACCAUGCCAGUGAAGGGCUCUUGGUAGAAAUAACCCAGCAUUAUUUUUUCCCAGGGUCCAACAUUCAUGGAACCAACUCCCCGAGCAGAGAAUCAAAUGCAGAAAGAAGCAACAAGGCUUUGGCAGUGAUUAAAAUACUUUCAAGCUGGAUUGGGAAGAUCUGGCAGUGCUUGGGAGAUUGUGGAAGGUCGUUGUGGCUGGAGCUGGAGCAUCCUCAAAAAUCCGCCUCACCUCUGGGCAGCAGUGGAAAACAUGGAUCUGCCCUGGCAGAUUCCCACUGUUCUUCCCUGGGAUCUGCCGAUGGAGCUACUCCCCCCUCUCUGCUGUUCCACUACCAGCUCUCCCAAGUUUCCCUGGAGAAAGAAACCAGGAUGCUCCUUAAGCAAAGGAUCUGUGCCCAGGACACCUGAUGGAGCAUCGUGGAUGAGGUGAGUUGUCUCAGCUCCAAAAUGAGAUUCUGUGCUUUCAGUAUGGCCACACAGAGAGGCUCUGGCUUCCACAAGCAUUUUGCAAUUAUUAGACAAUAAUUCAGGCUCUGUUCAUCUCCCCCAUACACCAGAAAAACCCAAUAAUGCUCUCUGCAUAGCAGGAUAAUUACCGUGCUCCCAAGGCUCUUGGGAGAAGUUACCUGUGCUGAUGAAAUUAAGGGAGCUGAAACCAUUCCCCAGGGGUAGGAUGGGUCCAGAGGGUGAACAAACCUGUGUGAGAUGCUGUACAACACGGAGCUGCACUUCCACCAGCGCCAGCAAACCUUUCCCUGCUGCUGGGAGGGAUCUCCAUCUCCACCAGCACUUCCAGAGAGGAUUCCCUUCUGUUCCCCUCUCAGGGAGGAUCCCACCAAAGCUCCUUUCACACUGAGAGCCCCAAGCAGCCAUCAGAUUCCCCAGAGGGUGCAGCACUGCCCGAGGCAGCUCCAGUUCCAUCAGCAGUGUAUCCCUGAGGAAAUGAAGGGGAUGGGCCAGUGAUCUCAGUUGCUCUCUUGGAACCAUUAUUGUUGAACUGGUAAAUAUUUCCUUUUAAAUGCUUACAUGCUUUCAAAAAAUUUGCAGGGCUUAGUGGGAACAAAUAUUCCCAGGGGGCUGUAUCCUGCCAUUCAUUUGCACAUCAGAUCCCUGCUAUCUUUAAGAAUGGUUCUGUGCAUGGGCAGGCGCCUAAGUCAUUUGAGAAACAAUAACCCUCUGUGCUCUAAUUUUCCAGACAAAAAUGUAGACAAAACAAGUGGCAAUUUGGCACAAACCGAGCCACUUUGAUAAAUAACCGGGCAUUUAAGAGGAGAAGUGUGUAGGCAGCUGGGCUCGGGCUGCCCGAGCUGUCCCAGGGCAGGUGCUGGGCAGCCGGAGCUGAGCCCUGGGUGUCACCCUGGAGAUUCCCUCUGCAGCUGGGGGGCUUCCAGGGAAUUCUCUAAGCAUC